RNAcentral lists this ribosomal RNA (412 nucleotides) under uncultured Streptococcus sp. RNAcentral's name for it is "bacterial SSU rRNA". It matches the Rfam family "Bacterial small subunit ribosomal RNA", at positions 967 to 1382 of the family's 1533-position model. The record is from RNAcentral. Lineage: Bacteria; Bacillati; Bacillota; Bacilli; Lactobacillales; Streptococcaceae.
AACCUUACCAGGUCUUGACAUCCCGAUGCUAUUUCUAGAGAUAGAAAGUUACUUCGGUACAUCGGUGACAGGUGGUGCAUGGUUGUCGUCAGCUCGUGUCGUGAGAUGUUGGGUUAAGUCCCGCAACGAGCGCAACCCCUAUUGUUAGUUGCCAUCAUUCAGUUGGGCACUCUAGCGAGACUGCCGGUAAUAAACCGGAGGAAGUGGGAUGACGUCAAAUCAUCAUGCCCCUUAUGACCUGGGCUACACACGUGCUACAAUGGUUGGUACAACGAGUUGCGAGUCGGUGACGGCGAGCUAAUCUCUUAAAGCCAAUCUCAGUUCGGAUUGUAGGCUGCAACUCGCCUACAUGAAGUCGGAAUCGCUAGUAAUCGCGGAUCAGCACGCCGCGGUGAAUACGUUCCCGGGCCUU